GACGAACCGUGCGAACGUUGUUCGGAAUCACUGGGCAUAAAGGGCGCGUAGGCGGGCCGUAAAGUCAGGGGUGAAAUCCUCCAGCUUAACUGGAGAACUGCCUUUGAUACUGACGGUCUCGAGUGAGGUAGGGGUGUGCGGAACUGAUGGUGGAGCGGUGAAAUGUGUUGAUAUCAUCAGGAACUCCGGUGGCGAAAGCGGCACACUGGCCCGAUACUGACGCUGAGGCGCGAAAGCGUGGGGAGCAAACAGG
This 253-nucleotide ribosomal RNA is filed under the name uncultured bacterium. RNAcentral describes it as "partial 16S ribosomal RNA". It matches the Rfam family "Bacterial small subunit ribosomal RNA", at positions 524 to 776 of the family's 1533-position model. The record is from RNAcentral.